RNAcentral lists this ribosomal RNA (492 nucleotides) under uncultured bacterium. Its description in RNAcentral is "partial 16S ribosomal RNA". It matches the Rfam family "Bacterial small subunit ribosomal RNA", at positions 29 to 507 of the family's 1533-position model. The record is from RNAcentral.
AGUGAACGCUGGCGGUAGGCCUAACACAUGCAAGUCGAACGGCAGCACAGUAAGAGCUUGCUCUUACGGGUGGCGAGUGAUGGACGGGUGAGGAAUACAUCGGAAUCUACUUUUUCGUGGGGGAUAACGUAGGGAAACUUACGCUAAUACCGCAUACGACCUACGGGUGAAAGCAGGGGAUCUUCGGACCUUGCGCGAUUGAAUGAGCCGAUGUCGGAUUAGCUAGUUGGCGGGGUAAAGGCCCACCAAGGCGACGAUCCGUAGCUGGUCUGAGAGGAUGAUCAGCCACACUGGAACUGAGACACGGUCCAGACUCCUACGGGAGGCAGCAGUGGGGAAUAUUGGACAAUGGGCGCAAGCCUGAUCCAGCCAUACCGCGUGGGUGAAGAAGGCCUUCGGGUUGUAAAGCCCUUUUGUUGGGAAAGAAAAGCAGCAGGUUAAUACCCCGCUGUUCUGACGGUACCCAAAGAAUAAGCACCGGCUAACUUCGUG